Molecule: ribosomal RNA, 253 nt
Filed under: uncultured bacterium
Lineage: Bacteria
Description: partial 16S ribosomal RNA
Rfam family: Bacterial small subunit ribosomal RNA
Source: RNAcentral
UACAGAGGGUGCUAGCGUUAUUCGGAUUCAUUGGGCGUAAAGGGUGCGUAGGCGGCGCGGUAAGUCGGGUGUGAAAUCUUGGAGCUUAACUCCGAAACUGCAUUCGAUACUGCCGUGCUUGAGGACUGGAGAGGAGACUGGAAUUUACGGUGUAGCGGUGAAAUGCGUAGAUAUCGUAAGGAAGACCAGUGGCGAAGGCGGGUCUCUGGACAGUUCCUGACGCUGAGGCACGAAGGCCAGGGGAGCAAACGGG